RNAcentral lists this ribosomal RNA (253 nucleotides) under uncultured bacterium. Its description in RNAcentral is "partial 16S ribosomal RNA". It matches the Rfam family "Bacterial small subunit ribosomal RNA", at positions 524 to 776 of the family's 1533-position model. The record is from RNAcentral.
UACCGAGGGUGCAAGCGUUGUUCGGAAUUAUUGGGCGUAAAGCGCGUGUAGGCGGCUUUGCAAGUCGGGUGUGAAAGCCCUCAGCUCAACUGAGGAAGUGCGCCCGAAACUGCAGAGCUUGAGUACCGGAGAGGAUGGCGGAAUUCCCCAAGUAGAGGUGAAAUUCGUAGAUAUGGGGAGGAACACCGGUGGCGAAGGCGGCCAUCUGGACGGAUACUGACGCUGAGACGCGAAAGCGUGGGGAGCAAACAGG